This 175-nucleotide ribosomal RNA is filed under the name Halomonas sp. RNAcentral's name for it is "partial 16S ribosomal RNA". It matches the Rfam family "Bacterial small subunit ribosomal RNA", at positions 1368 to 1533 of the family's 1533-position model. Lineage: Bacteria; Pseudomonadati; Pseudomonadota; Gammaproteobacteria; Oceanospirillales; Halomonadaceae. The record is from RNAcentral.
ACGUUCCCGGGCCUUGUACACACCGCCCGUCACACCAUGGGAGUUUGUUGCACCAGAAGCAGGUAGCUUAACCUUCGGGAGGGCGCUUGCCACGGUGUGGCCGAUGACUGGGGUGAAGUCGUAACAAGGUAGCCGUAUCGGAAGGUGCGGCUGGAUCACCUCCUUUCUAAGGAAG